Ictidomys tridecemlineatus (thirteen-lined ground squirrel) is the source of this 69-nucleotide non-coding RNA. NCBI's taxonomy places the organism in Eukaryota, Metazoa, Chordata, Mammalia, Rodentia, Sciuridae. The record is from Rfam.
GGAGUUGUGGCUCAGUGGUAGAGUGCUUGCCUUGCAUGUGUGAGGCACUGGGUUCAAUUCUCAGCACUA